Long non-coding RNA from Pectinophora gossypiella (pink bollworm), 357 nucleotides. RefSeq lists it as uncharacterized. The transcript is spliced from 2 exons. The record is from RefSeq and is a predicted model, not a curated record. NCBI's taxonomy places the organism in Eukaryota, Metazoa, Arthropoda, Insecta, Lepidoptera, Gelechiidae.
UAGUAUUUUAUGCAACAGUUGUAUAAGAAGGGUCAAAAAAUGCGAGUGGCGUGAGUUGCGAUGUGAGCCUUGGCGAACAUCGCAAUAAGAGACGCCACGAGCAUUUUUUGACCUAGUUAUACAACGUUGCAUACAAUACUUUUUCUACGACGACGUAAUUUUAAAUGAAACCAAAAUUUUCCAAUUUAUUUUCCAACGCGCGGGUAAAUGGCGGCAAAUGUAUACUUUUUUUUUAUAGUAUAUCUAUGGCACCAAACAAAGUAAAGGUGCCAGUUUCCAGGUCAAAAAAAAAAACAACAACAAUGCUUUUUUGGCGACAUUAUAGUACAGUUACACUUUGUAAACAAUGCUUUUAUA